This 497-nucleotide ribosomal RNA is filed under the name uncultured bacterium. Its description in RNAcentral is "partial 16S ribosomal RNA". It matches the Rfam family "Bacterial small subunit ribosomal RNA", at positions 28 to 507 of the family's 1533-position model. The record is from RNAcentral.
GAUGAACGCUGGCGGCGUGCCUAAUACAUGCAGGUCGAGCGAACAGACGAGGAGCUUGCUCCUCUGACGUUAGCGGCGGACGGGUGAGUAACACGUGGAUAACCUACCUAUAAGACUGGGAUAACUUCGGGAAACCGGAGCUAAUACCGGAUAAUAUAUUGAACCGCAUGGUUCAAUAGUGAAAGACGGUUUUGCUGUCACUUAUAGAUGGAUCCGCGCCGCAUUAGCUAGUUGGUAAGGUAACGGCUUACCAAGGCGACGAUGCGUAGCCGACCUGAGAGGGUGAUCGGCCACACUGGAGCUGAGACACGGUCCAGACUCCUAAGGGAGGCAGCAGUAGGGAAUCUUCCGCAAUGGGCGAAAGCCUGACGGAGCAACGCCGCGUGAGUGAUGAAGGUCUUCGGAUCGUAAAACUCUGUUAUUAGGGAAGAACAAAUGUGUAAGUAACUAUGCACGUCUUGACGGUACCUAAUCAGAAAGCCACGGCUAACUACGUG